GAUGAACGCUGACAGAAUGCUUAACACAUGCAAGUCUUUGGCGAAGCUGUGCUUGCACAGCCUAGCCAAGGCGGACGGGUGAGUAACGCGUAAGGAACUUGCCCUGCAGUCAGGGAUAACAGACGGAAACGACUGAUAAGACCUGGUAAAGUCAGGCGGACUCAUGUCCAGCCUGAUGAAAAGUGAUGCUGCAGGAGAGCCUUGCGUCCUAUUAGCUUGUUGGUGGGGUAACGGCCCGCCAAGGCGAUGAUAGGUAGCCGGCCUGAGAGGGUGGACGGCCACAAGGGGACUGAGAUACGGCCCUUACUCCUACGGGAGGCAGCAGUGGGGAAUAUUGGACAAUGGGGGCAACCCUGAUCCAGCAAUUCUGUGUGCACGAUGAAGGUUUUCGGAGUGUAAAGUGCUUUCAGCAGGGAAGAAAAAAAUGACGGUACCUGCAGAAGAAGCGACGGCUAAAUACGUG
Molecule: ribosomal RNA, 463 nt
Filed under: uncultured bacterium
Lineage: Bacteria
Description: partial 16S ribosomal RNA
Rfam family: Bacterial small subunit ribosomal RNA
Source: RNAcentral